GAAUCGCUAGUAAUCGUGGAUCAGAAUGCCACGGUGAAUACGUUCCCGGGCCUUGUACACACCGCCCGUCACACCAUGGGAGUGGACUGCACCAGAAGUGGUUAGCCUAACGCAAGAGGGCGAUCACCACGGUGUGGUUCAUGACUGGGGUGAAGUCGUAACAAGGUAGCCGUAGGGGAACCUGCGGCUGGAUCACCUCCU
RNAcentral lists this ribosomal RNA (201 nucleotides) under Halomonas sp. KJ-5-1-1. RNAcentral describes it as "partial 16S ribosomal RNA". It matches the Rfam family "Bacterial small subunit ribosomal RNA", at positions 1329 to 1531 of the family's 1533-position model. The record is from RNAcentral. Lineage: Bacteria; Pseudomonadati; Pseudomonadota; Gammaproteobacteria; Oceanospirillales; Halomonadaceae.